Molecule: ribosomal RNA, 505 nt
Filed under: uncultured bacterium
Lineage: Bacteria
Description: partial 16S ribosomal RNA
Rfam family: Bacterial small subunit ribosomal RNA
Source: RNAcentral
GACGAACGCUGGCGGCGUGCCUAAUACAUGCAAGUAGAACGCACAGUUUCUACCUUAGCUUGCUACACCAUAGACGGUGAGUUGCGAACGGGUUAGUAACGCUUCGGUAACCUUCCUGGUAACUUGGGGUAACUGUUGGAAACGAUAGCUAAUACCUCAUACUAUUAAUUAUUGCAUGAUAAUUAAUUGAAAGUGGCAAUUGCACCACGACCAAAUGGACUUUCGUUGGAUUAGCUGGUAGGUGAGGUAACGGCGCACCUAGGCGACGAUACAUAGCCGAAAGGAGUGGGUGGUCGGCCAGACUGGGACUGAGACACGGCACAGCGGCAUACGGGAGGGGGCAGUAGUGCUACUUCGGCAAGGGAUGGAAGUUUGAGCGAGAAACGCCGAGUCAGUGAAGAAGGUUGCCGGAUCGUAAAGCUCUGUUGUAAGGGAAGAAAGGGUGUGAGAGUGGAAAGUUCACACUGUGACGGUAUCUUACAAGAAAGGGACGGCUAACUACGUG